CCGUCCAGCUCUCGCUUGUCCAGCGCAGGCCGCGGGAGCUGCCGAGCCUUGGCGAGAAGGGCGGCCUCGGGCGUUUUGUGGACGCGCUCGGCGCUUUCUCCUUGGUUCGGCGCUUACCUCGGACGGCCACCAGCUCGGUUCCCUGAGAGACCCCGGGGAGACUGCGGACGGUGUCGGGAUCCCGGCCCCCGCCUCCCGCAAACGGCGUCCUCCCCGCUCCUCGCUCUGCGCGAAUCCUGCGGGAAGCUCCGAUCUCAGGCAACUGGAUUUUGCUUUUGUGGUUUUUUGUUUGUUUUGUUUGUUUUUUAGCUCACCAGCUUAACCUCGCAGCACUGCCCUUUUAUGAGACUGUAAGACAUCUAAUUAUGUGAUUCUUGCUUAUUUUUACUUUUUUUUUUUUGUCAUUUCUGGAAUACGGCAGUAGUGUCCUUCCUGCAUGGGGGGUGUGUACACAUGCACGCAUACAUAGAGUUCCUGUAUGCACUGCACUCCAGCAAUCGGAUUAAUAAAUUAUUCAUGAACAGAUUUGACAGGAUUAUUAACAAUUUUAUAUGCCGCUGCAAAUAAAGCCAACUGCCAUACACAUUUUGUGCUACUCACCACAUCUAUGGGUCCCGUUUUAGUUGCUCUAUAGAAUCUGCAUAAAUACGUUUUUAUUAAACAGCUACCUUAGUAAAGUACAGUUAGGAAUGGCAAGAUCUUUAUUAGAAGUGAGUUACUGUUUAGGAUGCUCAUACCUUUAAAGAUUCAAAUACUGUAUAAAGUUUAACUUCCUCUCUAUUUCUACGAAGUUGGUUUAGAGAACAAGAAUGAUUCUUUAAAAAACCCGUGAAGCAAAGUAGAUUAGGUAUUUUUAAUCAAAAGCACUUGAAAAGUUAAAAAAUGCAAGUUCUUGAAGGGUGGAGGGAAGGGAUGCGGAACAACAAAGAUGUUUUAGUCUUCAGGAGCGAUUAUUUGCAACAUUAGACCCAAAGUGAAACAUUAUUUUCUUUUUCUAACUUAGAUGUCUGUUUUAAAAAUUUUUGAUGGAUACAGUUGACAUUUACCUUGGCACCAAUACAUAAAGUGUACCUCAUUUCACAACAGGAUGCAAAUGGAGUAAGCAUCAGUAACAGAUUGAGUAACUACUCAGCCCUCCUUUGAAAGCUUUAAAAGGCACGUGCAGUGGCUCCUCACUCGGUGAGAAUAUAGUAGCAGUGAAGGAUUUAAAAGUCUCCCUAGAGUCUUUAUGAAACAAGCACCUAUUAAUCAUGUUCAUCUUUUCUUCCCAUCACUCAUCUUCCUAAUUUGUUUCUCAUUAGUAGUAAAAUGUCAGUUGAAAAACUUCAUGAUACCUGAUUACAUAGAGAAUAGUCAGGACAGAGUUGUGUAAAUGUUCAACAAUAUUAACAACACCCAAGCUUAUUAUGUUUAUUACACAUGUAUUUUAUGACCUAGUGUAACGUUGAUUAUUAAUACUCUAAUAGAAUUUGAGUUGAUAACUCUAAUACUCAAUUUAGUGUCAAAAAAGAGAGUAUUAAUCAUGGACAUAGAUUUUAAAAUAUUAUUUUAAAAGAAAAAUAAACACAAGUGGUUGUCAAUUUGUGGGCAUGAAAGUUAGGAAAUUCAGAAGGAUUGUUUCCAUAAUAGCUGUCAUAUUACUUUGUUGCCCAUGUAUAAGUACUUUCUCUUAGAAUGUUUCCUCCUCUUAGGCCUAAGUAUAUUCAUGUGUUAGGCCUAAGUGAUGGGCACAUUUUAAGCUCACAAAAAUUUUCACCAUAAUGUGUUCUAAUGCUAGAAAAACGGAAUUUUCCUACUACAGGUAUAUUUAUUUAAACUUCCUUUGAAGGAGGCACAGGAUCGAGUGUUUCAAACGUGUGUCUUUGACAAGUCAUUGAAAUACAUGGAAGUAUGAUCAUCAAAAGGCAUGACUACCCAGAUGUAGACUCUCUUGGUUACAGCCAUAAAGAUCAAUGCAUUUUAUGUUAGAAAAACUACAUAUGAACAUAUUCUGAAAGUAUGAAAAUACUGUUUAAAAUUUUGCUUUACUCAAAACAGCAUUGGAACUUUGACUAAACUUUAAAAAAUUCUGCAUGCUCAAAGCCAGUAAACUAAAUUUGGCUUCCCAAAAGCCUUUUAAAAGAACAAUUAUGUGCAGCUGAAAACAACAAAAUACAGAUGCAACCAUCUUCACAUUAACAAUAUAUCUUGCCUCCUAAACUGCAAAUAUUAGGUAGACAAUGCUGAUAAAUUUAUUUUUCUUUUUGAGAAUCUAGAAAUCAUUUGAAGAACUAGAAGUUACCUUUUUAAACAAUGUUUUAGAGUUUCAAGUACAUUUGAUAUCCUUUGAACUGGUUAAUAUUUUUAGAAACAAAUUUAAUAUUGGUCCCUUUAUUGUGAUUACAAUUAAAUAGGCUAGGGCUUUUACCGGAUCUAUGUGGUCAGCUUUUCCCACAGGCCUCAUUGCUGCAUUUGUUAGUGUUAUGAAUUACAAUAUUUUCUUUUUCAGAUUGUAUAAGUACUUUUGCUUUUGUGCAAAUAACGCUGAAGGAAGAUAUUCCUUUAGAUUGAAGAGCUCAUGGAACUCCAUGGGGAGAAAAAAUAAUAAGUUUAAGUGCCAUCGAGACAAAGACUAGUUUUAACUGGCUUAUAUAUUUAUUAUAUAUUCUAGUGGGGAUCUGUUUUAUCCCUGCCUGCUCAUAUGCUACAGAGAAGAAAGUUUAGAACACUUUAGAAACUACCUCUAAAUAAGAAACCAUUCUCUCUGUGUUCCCUAACACCGAUGCUUUGAUGGUUACUUUAAACUCUGAGAUAUUUGUUAAUGAAAAUAGUCUUUACUGUUUUAAAGCUAUUUUAACCACAAAUGGACAGUUGGAAGGAGUAUUUAACUGAGUUAUAUAUGACACUUGAGAGUAUAAGUCAAAAACUGUUUCAGUGAAGUUUAUAAAACCUGUCUAUAUUCUUUUAUUAAAUAACUUGGCAAGGCAUAGUUUGUGACUUGGAAUUUGAAUGGUCAAGUUUUUGCACAUUCAUGAUCACAGAGUUCAGUGGUCUCAAAUUGCAUCUUAUAUCACACUGUGAGACACCAAACUGAGUAUUCAGAGGGGACAGUAAAGCUUUUAUUUUCAAUUUAAACAUGUAAUCCAAUCCCUAAUUAUUUCUAAACAGUCAUUGCUGCAAUAAUUGAUAUGGACAAAUAUAACCUUUUCUCACAUUGUAUAGUUUAAUUUGCAUAUGUGGAUUUAAAAAUGUGUGAGGGAAAUGAAAUACAAAUUACAUUAAAUAAACUGUAACCACAGGGUUUAAAAUUAAUGAUACAGUGUUCUCUAAAACAGAUAACUUACGCUUAUGAUUUGGCACAAGUGUUUUGUAUUUUUCCCCUAAAACUUUUUUGAAUAAAUUUAUAUUAAAUGGUAAAUAGUACAAUUUCUAUUUAAUAUUGUCAUCAUUUAGUACCAUUUUAUGUUAUUUAUUUAUUUAUCUAUUUAUUUUAGUAGAGAUGGGGGUUUUUCCAUGUUGGCCAGGCUGCUCCCGAACUCCUGACCUCAGAUGAUCCGCCCACCUUGGCCUCCCAAAGUGCUGGGAUUACAGGCGUGAGCCACUGCACCCGGCCGGUACCAUUUUAAAUAUUUCAUUUUCGUAAGUUUUAUCUGGGAAAUAUAAAACAUAAAACUUCAAAAUAUAAGAAAAAUUAAAUAUUUUAAAUCUAAGUUUUAAAAAGUCAAAUUAUCA
This 3711-nucleotide long non-coding RNA is filed under the name Homo sapiens (human). RNAcentral describes it as "non-protein coding lnc-EBLN1-5:1". The record is from RNAcentral. Lineage: Eukaryota; Metazoa; Chordata; Mammalia; Primates; Hominidae.